CAGCCGCCGCGGUAAUACGUAGGGUGCAAGCGUUAAUCGGAAUUACUGGGCGUAAAGCGUGCGCAGGCGGUUUGUUAAGACAGAUGUGAAAUCCCCGGGCUCAACCUGGGAACUGCAUUUGUGACUGGCAAGCUAGAGUGUGGCAGAGGGGGGUGGAAUUCCGCGUGUAGCAGUGAAAUGCGCAGAUAUGCGGAGGAACACCGAUGGCGAAGGCAAUCCCCUGGGCCUGCACUGACGCUCAUGCACGAAAGCGUGGGGAGCAAACAGGAUUAGAUACCCCUGUAGUCCCUGUCUCUUAUAC
This 301-nucleotide ribosomal RNA is filed under the name uncultured bacterium. RNAcentral describes it as "partial 16S ribosomal RNA". It matches the Rfam family "Bacterial small subunit ribosomal RNA", at positions 509 to 807 of the family's 1533-position model. The record is from RNAcentral.